UUUUUUUGUUUUAGCUAUUUUUAUUUUUUUUUUGUGUUUUUUGUUUUGGUGUAUUUUUAUAAUGUAGAUAAAGUCUUGAAAUAAACACAUUAUUAAGGUAAGCAUGUUUCAUUCCUAAAGUCUAUAGUUUUUUGUUUUUGAAUUUUUUGAAUAUAUUUUAUUGUUGUAUUGGCAUAAUUAUUGAAUAAUUUGUUAAAUUGUAAUUGUUAAUAUUGAAUUUACC
RNAcentral lists this long non-coding RNA (223 nucleotides) under Populus trichocarpa (black cottonwood). RNAcentral describes it as "long non-coding RNA (PTRI_LNC001947)". Lineage: Eukaryota; Viridiplantae; Streptophyta; Magnoliopsida; Malpighiales; Salicaceae. The record is from RNAcentral.